Molecule: ribosomal RNA, 433 nt
Filed under: uncultured bacterium
Lineage: Bacteria
Description: partial 16S ribosomal RNA
Rfam family: Bacterial small subunit ribosomal RNA
Source: RNAcentral
AACGAACGCUGGCGGCAUGCCUAACACAUGCAAGUCGAACGAGACCUUCGGGUCUAGUGGCGCACGGGUGCGUAACGCGUGGGAACCUGCCCUUAGGUUCGGAAUAACUCCCCGAAAGGGGUGCUAAUACCGGAUAAUGUCUUCGGACCAAAGAUUUAUCGCCUUUGGAUGGGCCCGCGUUGGAUUAGCUAGUUGGUAGGGUAAAAGCCUACCAAGGCGACGAUCCAUAGCUGGUCUGAGAGGAUGAUCAGCCACACUGGGACUGAGACACGGCCCAGACUCCUACGGGAGGCAGCAGUGGGGAAUACUGGACAAUGGGCGAAAGCCUGAUCCAGCAAUGCCGCGUGAGUGAUGAAGGCCUUAGGGUUGUAAAGCUCUUUUACCCGGGAUGAUAAUGACAGUACCGGGAGAAUAAGCUCCGGCUAACUCCGUA